This 72-nucleotide transfer RNA is filed under the name Desulfurococcus sp. Its description in RNAcentral is "tRNA-Tyr". It matches the Rfam family "tRNA". Rfam says of the family: Transfer RNA (tRNA) molecules are approximately 80 nucleotides in length. Their secondary structure includes four short double-helical elements and three loops (D, anti-codon, and T loops). The record is from RNAcentral. RNAcentral also lists the same sequence under 1 other name. Lineage: Archaea; Thermoproteati; Thermoproteota; Thermoprotei; Desulfurococcales; Desulfurococcaceae.
CCCGCCGUAGCUCAGCGGCAGAGCGCCCGGCUGUAGACCGGGUGGCCGGGGGUUCAAGUCCCCCCGGCGGGA